UUUCCCGCACAGCCAACAGGAUGGCCAACAGCUCGACUCCAUUCUGACACUAACUACCCGGAGUUACCGUCAGAUUCCACGGGUUCCUGUGCUCGGUCCCACAAGAUGACCCCACUUCAGAGGCCAGCCACCAGUCAUGGGGGCCAUUCAGACUUCUGACAGCCUGGCUGUGUAGCUUUUGGCCCGGCCGGGUAGCUCAGUUGGUUAGAGCAUUGACUGGAUACUCCAGGUCAUGGGUGCCACCCCCAAUCAGGGGACAUACCCAGAAGCAAGCAGUGAAUGCACAGGAGCCCAGCGUGUGGUUCAAAAUCGCGCGGCGCUGCCCACCCUCGAGUCGCCGGUCCGGCCCUG
Long non-coding RNA from Eptesicus fuscus (big brown bat), 351 nucleotides. RefSeq lists it as uncharacterized. The record is from RefSeq and is a predicted model, not a curated record. The transcript is spliced from 3 exons. Lineage: Eukaryota; Metazoa; Chordata; Mammalia; Chiroptera; Vespertilionidae.